Molecule: ribosomal RNA, 253 nt
Filed under: uncultured bacterium
Lineage: Bacteria
Description: partial 16S ribosomal RNA
Rfam family: Bacterial small subunit ribosomal RNA
Source: RNAcentral
GACAGAGGUCCCGAGCGUUAGGCGGAAUCACUGGGCUUAAAGCGUGUGUAGGCGGAUCGUUAAGUACCUUGUGAAAUCCCACGGCUCAACCGUGGAACUGCUGGGUAUACUGGCGGUCUUGGGCCAUCUAGGGGCUACCGGAACAAGUGGUGGAGCGGUGAAAUGCGUAGAUAUCACUUGGAACGCCAAUGGUGAAAACAGGUAGCUGGGGAUGUGCCGACGCUGAGACACGAAAGCCAGGGGAGCGAACGGG